This 253-nucleotide ribosomal RNA is filed under the name uncultured bacterium. RNAcentral describes it as "partial 16S ribosomal RNA". It matches the Rfam family "Bacterial small subunit ribosomal RNA", at positions 524 to 776 of the family's 1533-position model. The record is from RNAcentral.
UACGAAGGGUGCAAGCGUUACUCGGAAUUACUGGGCGUAAAGGGUGCGUAGGUGGUUGUUUAAGUCUGUUGUGAAAGCCCCGGGCUCAACCUGGGAAUGGCAAUGGAUACUGGACAGCUAGAGUGCGGUAGAGGGUAGUGGAAUUCCCGGUGUAGCAGUGAAAUGCGUAGAGAUCGGGAGGAACACCAGUGGCGAAGGCGAGUCCCUGGAAAACUCCUGACACUGAGGCACGAAAGCUAGGGGAGCAAACAGG